UAGGGAAUCUUCCGCAAUGGACGAAAGUCUGACGGAGCAACGCCGCGUGAGUGAUGAAGGUUUUCGGAUCGUAAAGCUCUGUUGUUAGGGAAGAACAAGUAUCUGUUAAAUAAGCAGGUACCUUGACGGUACCUAACCAGAAAGCCACGGCUAACUACGUACCAGCAGCCGCGGUAAUACGUAGGUGGCAAGCGUUGUCCGGAAUUAUUGGGCGUAAAGCGCGCGCAGGCGGUUCCUUAAGUCUGAUGUGAAAGCCCACGGCUCAACCGUGGAGGGUCAUUGGAAACUGGGGAACUUGAGUGCAGAAGAGGAGAGCGGAAUUCCACGUGUAGCGGUGAAAUGCGUAGAGAUGUGGAGGAACACCAGUGGCGAAGGCGGCUCUCUGGUCUGUAACUGACGCUGAGGCGCGAAAGCGUGGGGAGCGAACAG
Molecule: ribosomal RNA, 429 nt
Filed under: uncultured bacterium
Lineage: Bacteria
Description: bacterial SSU rRNA
Rfam family: Bacterial small subunit ribosomal RNA
Source: RNAcentral